Molecule: ribosomal RNA, 529 nt
Filed under: Bombus robustus
Lineage: Eukaryota; Metazoa; Arthropoda; Insecta; Hymenoptera; Apidae
Description: partial large subunit ribosomal RNA
Rfam family: Bacterial large subunit ribosomal RNA (bases 377-529)
Source: RNAcentral
GGCUUAAUGAUUAUAAUUUUAAGUCAAUCUGCCCAAUGAUAUUAUAUUAAAUGGCUGCAGUAUAAUUAACUGUACAAAGGUAGCAUAGUCAAUUGUUUUUUAAUUGGAAACUGGAAUGAAAGAAUUAAUGAGAUAUAUACUGUCUCAUAUAUAUGUUAUUAAGUUAAAUUUUUAGUUAAAAUGCUGAAAUAGAUUUAUGGGACGAUAAGACCCUAUAGAAUUUUAUAUUAAAAUUUAAAAUAUAUUAAUUUUUAGGUUUUAAUAUUUGAUUGGGAGGAUUAAUAAAUUUAUUUAACUUUAUUUUAAAAAUAUACUUUGAUUUAAGGAUUAUAUUAAUGAUUUUGUAUUAUAGAUUAUAAGAAAAAAUUACCUUAGGGAUAACAGCGUAAUAUCUUUUUAAAGACCGAAUUUAUAAAGAUGAUUGCGACCUCGAUGUUGAAUUAAGAUAAAUUUUAAAUGGAGAAGUUUAAUAAUUAAGUCUGUUCGACUUUUAAAAUCUUACAUGAUUUGAGUUCAAAUCGACGUGAGU